GGAACCCUCCUGCACUGAUGGUGGGAUUAUAAGUUGGUAUAGCCACUAUGGAAAACAGUAUGGAGGUUCCUCAGAAAACAGAAAAUAGAAUUACCAUAUGAUCCAGCAGUCCCACUCCUGGGAGUGUAACCAGACAAAACUAUAAUUCAAAAAGAUACAUGCACCCCUAUGUUCACAGCAGCACUAGUCACAAUAGCCUAAACUAUAAAUUAAAAAAAUACAUGCACCCCUAUGUUCAUAGCAGCACUGUUCACAAUUGCCUAAACAACCUAAUGUCCAUCAACAGAUGAAUGGAUAAAGAAGAUGUGGUACAUAUAUACAAUGGAAUACUACUCAGCCACUAAAAAAGAAUGAAAUAAUGCCAUUUGCAGCUACAUGGAUGCAACUAGAGAUUAUCACACUAAGUGAAGUCCUACAUGAGAAACCAGGCUCAGAGAGGUGAAGUCAUUUGCCCAAGAUCACACAGCAAGUAAGACCUGGCAUUCAAAUCCAGAGCCUGUGCUCUUAACCUCAUGUGAUAGUUAUCAUUUGGGUUUGCAGAUGAUCUUCAACAGGUACCCAGUUGUUCCAACACCACUUGCUGAAAAAACUCUUGCCACUGAAUUGCCUUGAAACUUUGUCAAAAUUCAAUUGACUAUGCAUGUGUGGAUCUAUCUGUGAACUGUUUUUUCUCCUGAUCUAUUUUUCUCUCUUGACACCAAUACCACAUUAUCUUAAUCUUUAUGCUGUAGCUUUAUGUCUUAAAGUUCAGUAGAGGUCUUCCAACUUUAUCCUUAUUUUUCAAAGUUAUUUUGUUUAUUCUAUGUACUUAGCAUUUCUAUAAGAAUUUUGGAAUCUGCUUUUCAAUUUUUGUAAAAAAAAUUCUUACAGGAUUGGAUUUGGGAAUAUAUUGGAUCUAUACACUAAUUUGGAGAAAACUGAUAUCUUAGCACUAUAUCUUCCAAUCUAUGAGCUCAGUAUAUUUCUCCACUUAUUUAGGUAUACCUUAAUUUCUCCCAGCACUGUUUUUUAGUUUUAAGUGUGCAGAUCUUGUACGUUUGGUCAGAUUUUUCCCUAUGUAUUUCAUAUAUUUAAUGAUCUUACAAAUGAUAUUUAUAAUUUUUUUAUUUUCAAUUUUUGGUUCCUAGUAUAUGGAAAUAUGAUUUACUUUUUCACAUUGUCCUGUGACCUUGUCAAAAUUACUUACUAGUUUUAAGAAUAAUUUUGUAGAUUCCGUGGAAUUUUCUACACAUCAUGUCAUCAGUGAAUAGAGAUUGUUUUAUUUCUUCCUUUUCUUUAAAAAAAAUUUUUUUUAUUGUGGUAAAAGUCACAUAAUUUAAAACAUACUAUUUUAACUGUAUUUAACUGUACAAUUCAGUGGCACUAAGUACAUUCACAUUGUUGUGCAACUCUCAUUAUCUUCCAUUGCCCGAAUUUUUCACUUUCCUAAACUGAAAGUCUGUCUCCAUUAAACACUAACUCCCCAUUCCCUCUCCCCACUCCCUCACCCCACCAGUCCCUGGCAUCUACUAAUGUGUUUUCUGACUCUAUGAAUUUGACUAUUCUAGGUAACUUGUAUAAGUGGAAUCAAAUGGUAUUUGUCUGCAACUACUGUAUAUUGGAAUGCAUUUUUAAGAUUAACUUAAUAUAUGUCCUACAAACAGAUUGUACCCUUUCCCCCUACCCGCCCGGUGCUAUACAGUAGGUUCUCAUUAUUUAUCUAUCUUAUACAUGCUAGUGUGUAUAUGUCAAUCCCAGUCUCCCAAUUUAUCCCACUCCCGCUUUUUCCUCUUGGUGUCCAUACGUCUGUUCUCUGUGUCUGUGUUUCUGUUUCUGCUUUGCAAAUAAGUUCACCUGUACUAUUUUUCUAGAUUCCACAUAUAGGCGUUAAUAUACGGUAUUUGUUUUUCUCUUUCUGACUUACUUCACUCUGAAUGACAGUCUCUAGGUCCAUCCACAUCUCUGCAAAUGGCACAAUUUUGUUCCUUUUUAUGGCUGAGUAAUAUUAUUUCUUCCUUUUCAAUGUGUAUAGUUUUUAUUUAUUUUUCCUGCCUUCUUGCACUGGCCAGGACUCUCAAUACGAUAUUGAAUAAGAAUGGUGAAAGCAUUCAGACUUUUUAACAUUAAAUAUCUUUCUAGAUGCCUUUUAGCAGGUUAAGGAUGUUUCCAUUCCUAGUUUGCUGAAAUUUUUUGUUUGUUUGUUUGUUUUACGAUGAAUCGAUGCUAAAUUUU
Molecule: long non-coding RNA, 2211 nt
Organism: Hippopotamus amphibius kiboko
Lineage: Eukaryota; Metazoa; Chordata; Mammalia; Artiodactyla; Hippopotamidae
Exons: 3
Source: RefSeq, a predicted model, not a curated record